RNAcentral lists this ribosomal RNA (490 nucleotides) under uncultured bacterium. RNAcentral describes it as "partial 16S ribosomal RNA". It matches the Rfam family "Bacterial small subunit ribosomal RNA", at positions 30 to 507 of the family's 1533-position model. The record is from RNAcentral.
AUUGAACGCUGGCGGCAUGCCUAACACAUGCAAGUCGAACGGUAACAGUCAGAAGCUUGCUUCUUUGCUGACGGUAGGCGGUCGGGGGCGUAAUGUCUGGGACACUGUCAGACGGCGGGGGGUAACUACUGGAAAGGGUAGCUAAUACCGCAUAACGUGCCAAGACCAAAAUGACCGACUGUCGGGGCUCUUGCCUUCGGUCAUGUCGAGGUGGGGUUAGCUGGUAGGCGGGGUAACGGCUCACCUCGGCGACGAGCCGUAGCUGGUCUGAGAGGACGACCAGCCACACUGGAACUGAGACACGGUCCAGACUCCUACGGGAGGCAGCAGUGGGGAAUAUUGCACAAUGGGCGCAAGCCUGAUGCAGCCAUGCCGCGUGUAUGAAGAAGGCCUUCGGGUUGUAAAGUACUUUCAGCGGGGAGGAAGGGAGUAAAGUUAAUACCUGUGCUCAUUGACGUUACCCGCAGAAGAAGCACCGGCUAACUCCGUG